This 373-nucleotide ribosomal RNA is filed under the name uncultured organism. RNAcentral describes it as "partial 16S ribosomal RNA". It matches the Rfam family "Bacterial small subunit ribosomal RNA", at positions 527 to 896 of the family's 1533-position model. The record is from RNAcentral.
GUAGGUGGCAAGCGUUGUCCGGAAUUAUUGGGCGUAAAGCGCGCGCAGGCGGUUCUUUAAGUCUGAUGUGAAAGCCCACGGCUCAACCGUGGAGGGUCAUUGGAAACUGGAGAACUUGAGUACAGAAGAGGAAAGCGGAAUUCCACGUGUAGCGGUGAAAUGCGUAGAGAUGUGGAGGAACACCAGUGGCGAAGGCGGCUUUCUGGUCUGUAACUGACGCUGAGGCGCGAAAGCGUGGGGGGCAAACAGGGAUUAGAUACCCUGGUAGUCCACGCCGUAAACGAUGAGUGCUAAGUGUUAGGGGGUUUCCCGCCCCUUAGUGCUGCAGCUAACGCAUUAAGCACUCCGCCUGGGGGAUACGGCCGCAAGGCUG